Homo sapiens (human) is the source of this 107-nucleotide small nuclear RNA. The record is from Ensembl. Lineage: Eukaryota; Metazoa; Chordata; Mammalia; Primates; Hominidae.
GUGCUCACUUCGGGAGCACAUAUAUUAAAAUUGGAACGAUGCAGAGAAGAUUAGCAUGGCCCUUGAGCAAGGAUGACACGAUAAUUUGUGAAACAUUCUGUAUUUUG